ACUUAAAUAGCUUAAUUAGAGCAUAAUAUUGAAGAUAUUAAGGUAAUAAAAUUA
RNAcentral lists this transfer RNA (54 nucleotides) under Staphylinidae sp. BMNH 1274255. RNAcentral's name for it is "tRNA-Phe". The record is from RNAcentral. Lineage: Eukaryota; Metazoa; Arthropoda; Insecta; Coleoptera; Staphylinidae.